GUGUCAGCAGCCGCGGUAAUACAGAGGUCUCAAGCGUUGUUCGGAUUCAUUGGGCGUAAAGGGUGCGUAGGUGGUGACGCAAGUCUGGUGUGAAAUCUCGGAGCUCAACUCCGAAAUUGCACCGGAUACUGCGUGACUCGAGGACUGUAGAGGAGAUCGGAAUUCACGGUGUAGCAGUGAAAUGCGUAGAUAUCGUGAGGAAGACCAGUUGCGAAGGCGGAUCUCUGGGCAGUUCCUGACACUGAGGCACGAAGGCCAGGGGAGCAAACGGGAUUAGAUACCCCGGUAGUCCUGGCAGUAAACGGUGCACGUUUGGUGUGGGCGGGUUCAGACCCCGUCCGUGCCGGAGCUAACGCGUUAAACGUGCCGCCUGGGAAGUACGGUCGCAAGAUUAAA
This 396-nucleotide ribosomal RNA is filed under the name uncultured bacterium. RNAcentral describes it as "bacterial SSU rRNA". It matches the Rfam family "Bacterial small subunit ribosomal RNA", at positions 505 to 898 of the family's 1533-position model. The record is from RNAcentral.